AUAUUUACCUGGCAGAGGAGAUACCAUGAUCACAAAGGUGGUUUUCUCAGGGAAAGGCUUAUCCAAACUCGACUGCAUAAUUUGUGGUAGUGAGGGACUGUGUUCACACUCUCCCCUG
Molecule: non-coding RNA, 118 nt
Organism: Erinaceus europaeus (western European hedgehog)
Lineage: Eukaryota; Metazoa; Chordata; Mammalia; Eulipotyphla; Erinaceidae
Source: Rfam